AGAGUUUGAUCCUGGCUCAGGAUGAACGCUGGCGGCGUGCCUAACACAUGCAAGUCGAGCGAUUCUCUUCGGAGAAGAGCGGCGGACGGGUGAGUAACGCGUGGGUAACCUGCCUCAUACACAUGGAUAACAUACCGAAAGGUAUGCUAAUACAAGAUGAUAUAAGAGAUUCGCAUGGAUUUUUUAUCAAAGCUCCGGCGGUAUGAGAUGGACCCGCGUCUGAUUAGCUAGUUGGUAAGGUAACGGCUUACCAAGGCGACGAUCAGUAGCCGACCUGAGAGGGUGAUCGGCCACAUUGGAACUGAGACACGGUCCAAACUCCUACGGGAGGCAGCAGUGGGGAAUAUUGCACAAUGGGCGAAAGCCUGAUGCAGCAACGCCGCGUGAGCGAUGAAGGCCUUCGGGUCGUAAAGCUCUGUCCUCAAGGAAGAUAAUGACGGUACUUGAGGAGGAAGCCCCGGCUAACUACGUGCCAGCAGCCGCGGUAAUACGUAGGGGGCUAGCGUUAUCCGGAUUUACUGGGCGUAAAGGGUGCGUAGGUGGUUUCUUAAGUCAGGAGUGAAAGGCUACGUCUCAACCGUAGUAAGCUCUUGAAACUGGGAAACUUGAGUGCAGGAGAGGAAAGUGGAAUUCCUAGUGUAGCGGUGAAAUGCGUAGAUAUUAGGAGGAACACCAGUAGCGAAGGCGGCUUUCUGGACUGUAACUGACACUGAGGCACGAAAGCGUGGGGAGCAAACAGGAUCAGAUACCCUGGUAGUCCACGCCGUAAACGAUGAGUACUAGGUGUCGGGGGUUACCCCCUCGGUGCCGCAGCUAACGCAUUAAGUACUCCGCCUGGGGAGUACGCUCGCAAGAGUGAAACUCAAAGGAAUUGACGG
This 878-nucleotide ribosomal RNA is filed under the name uncultured bacterium. RNAcentral describes it as "bacterial SSU rRNA". It matches the Rfam family "Bacterial small subunit ribosomal RNA", at positions 8 to 916 of the family's 1533-position model. The record is from RNAcentral.